UACGUAGGGGGCAAGCGUUGUCCGGAAUCAUUGGGCGUAAAGGGCGCGUAGGCGGCCACCGCAAGUCGACUGUGAAAUCUCCGGGCUUAACUCGGAAAGGUCAGCCGAUACUGCGGGGCUAGAGUGCAGAAGGGGCAACUGGAAUUCUCGGUGUAGCGGUGAAAUGCGUAGAUAUCGAGAGGAACACCUGCGGCGAAGGCGGGUUGCUGGGCUGACACUGACGCUGAUUGUGCGAAAGCUAGGGGAGCGAACGGG
Molecule: ribosomal RNA, 255 nt
Filed under: uncultured bacterium
Lineage: Bacteria
Description: partial 16S ribosomal RNA
Rfam family: Bacterial small subunit ribosomal RNA
Source: RNAcentral